This is a long non-coding RNA of Eptesicus fuscus (big brown bat), 860 nucleotides long. RefSeq lists it as uncharacterized. The transcript is spliced from 3 exons. Lineage: Eukaryota; Metazoa; Chordata; Mammalia; Chiroptera; Vespertilionidae. The record is from RefSeq and is a predicted model, not a curated record.
GGAGUCCAGAAAGGGACCGAGGCCGGGGCGGCCCCGGGGGCGGCGGUGCGGGGAGGUUCAAGUUCCUGUGGGCUGGAAGGUGCUGGAUACACACUGUCAGUCCUGCCUCUUCAACUCACCAAGGAUUUGGGCUUUUGUUGGCCAUCAGCCUCUCACUUAAUGCCACUUCAAGUCUUAUUUGACCCAUGGAGCUGUUUUGUCUAAGAUGUGUUUGUGUAUAUGGCGAUCUCAUUCAUCAUAUGUUGAUUUUACUAGGAAACUAAAUGUUCUGCCAAGACUCUCAUUAGUCUUUAUUUAGUUCCAAGGGAUCCCUCUGAUGGAUGAGAUCCACCCUGGCUCUGCUUCAAGCUCUCAGCACAAUGCACUGAAACAACUGUUAAGAUGGCCUACAAGCAUCUCCUAUAACGUCUAUUGGAAGCUGAUUAAAAUUCCUAAUAGCUUAUAUUUUAAAUCAUUUUCUCACAGACCCAUCGAUGACCUAAAUAGGAGCAUAGAAAUGAUCUAGACCAAUCUCUCACCUCACAGCGAGGAAAAGACUGAGAAAACCCUGACUUGGUCCAGGUUAUACAGUCAGUGGUGAGCCAAGACCAUGCCAUAACCUCUUAAUUUUAUUUAUGACAAAUAAAACUAAUGCUGCCACUCCAGCAUUAAUUUCACAAAGGCCAACAUUUCAAGUCUCUAAUACCUGUUGGCAUCUACCACUUGACUAUACAGGUUCCAGUCCCAAACCUACAUCCUUCUUUAGCUAUUCGACAUUGGUUAGUUACUUGAACUAUUCAUGCCAAAGUCCUAUAGCUCCUAACGCUUAGGGUUGUUAGGAAACUUAAAUGACAUUAUACUUAAAAGGUGCUUACAGCAGU